Molecule: long non-coding RNA, 715 nt
Filed under: Mus caroli (Ryukyu mouse)
Lineage: Eukaryota; Metazoa; Chordata; Mammalia; Rodentia; Muridae
Description: lncRNA (MGP_CAROLIEiJ_G0003856.1)
Rfam family: HOX antisense intergenic RNA myeloid 1 conserved region 1 (bases 1-125)
Source: RNAcentral
CACCGUUUCAGUGGCAUUUAAAUCCCCGGCGCUCCUCAGUGUAGGUGACGCGCGCUCGCCCCCCCAGGCAGCCCGGGCCGCGGCAGUAGCUGCGGCCGCUCCCGGAGCUGACUUGGAGCACUGGGACCAAAGGGAGUCGAGACUGCCAUCUGCGCGCGCCCGGCUCUGCGCGCCUCCGCCGCCAGAUGUGGGGGGAUGGGAGGCCCCCUCCGCGGCCCCUUCCCCACCCAGCCCAGAAAGCUGAACUGGUAAGAGGACGAAUCGCAUCCAGGAACUGCGCAGCCCUGGCCACAGCCGGGACACCCUGCUCAGAUCUCAGAGCCUGGGGCCUGAAAACCACCACAGUCCCCACGUACCGAGGCUGCUGAGGGAUUGGGGGAGUAGAGGGUGAAGGAAAGGUAGAGAGCAAACCCCUGAAAAAAGUCCGAGGUUUCGUUGUAAUUCCCAAGCUUUUGCUAUUAAGAACUGGGUUCUUCCAUCAAUCACCGCCCCCCCCCCACGCACAUGUUGCUGCAGUUUCUCACGGUCUGUUUUUCCUGAACCCAUCCACAGCUGGGAGAUUAAUCAACCACACUGAAAACGGGGGGUGUGGGGGAGGGAAAGGAAGAGUUGGAACGUAGAUGUUUGAAACAAAUGUGUAUAAAUAAAUGAAUUUUUGAUAACUCCGUUAUUGACCUAGAAACUAGCAGCUUGUUAAGGGAACUCCACUCUACUC